GGCCUAUCAGCUUGUUGGUGGGGUAAUGGCUACAAGGCGUCGACGGGUAGCCGGCUGAGAGGGUGGACGGCCACAUGGGACUGAGACACGGCCAGACUCUACGGGAGGCAGCAGUGGGGAAUAUUGCACAAUGGGCGCAAGCCUGAUGCAGCGACGCCGCGUGGGGGAUGAAGGCCUUCGGGUUGUAAACUCCUUUCAGCCAUGACGAAGCUGGCCUUGUUGGGUCAGUGACGGUAGUGGUAGAAGAAGCACCGGCUAACUACGUGCCAGCAGCCGCGGUAAUACGUAGGGUGCGAGCGUUGUCCGGAAUUACUGGGCGUAAAGAGCUCGUAGGUGGUUUGUCACGUCGUCUGUGAAAUUCCGGGGCUUAACUCCGGGCGUGCAGGCGAUACGGGCAUAACUUGAGUACUGUAGGGGAGACUGGAAUUCCUGGUGUAGCGGUGAAAUGCGCAGAUAUCAGGAGGAACACCGAUGGCGAAGGCAGGUCUCUGGGCAGUUACUGACGCUGAGGAGCGAAAGCAUGGGUAGCGAACAGGAUUAGAUACCCUGGUAGUCCAUGCCGUAAACGGUGGGCGCUAGGUGUGGGGGUCUUCCACGACUUCCGUGCCGUAGCUAACGCAUUAAGCGCCCCGCCUGGGGAGUACGG
Molecule: ribosomal RNA, 646 nt
Filed under: uncultured Corynebacterium sp.
Lineage: Bacteria; Bacillati; Actinomycetota; Actinomycetes; Mycobacteriales; Corynebacteriaceae
Description: bacterial SSU rRNA
Rfam family: Bacterial small subunit ribosomal RNA
Source: RNAcentral